RNAcentral lists this non-coding RNA (100 nucleotides) under Vibrio panuliri. RNAcentral's name for it is "Guanine sequence". It matches the Rfam family "Purine riboswitch aptamer". Rfam says of the family: Riboswitches are metabolite binding domains within certain messenger RNAs that serve as precision sensors for their corresponding targets. Allosteric rearrangement of mRNA structure is mediated by ligand binding, and this results in modulation of gene expression. The record is from RNAcentral. Lineage: Bacteria; Pseudomonadati; Pseudomonadota; Gammaproteobacteria; Vibrionales; Vibrionaceae.
AGUUAACCAAUCGCGAUGCUUCGUAUAAUCCUGCUGAUAAGGUGCAGGAGUCUCUACCUGGAGCCGUAAAUUCCAGAUUACGAAGAGUUAAGUGCCUAGC